ACUACGGGAGGCAGCAGUGGGGGAUAUUGCACAAUGGGGGGAACCCUGAUGCAGCGACGCCGCGUGGGUGAAGAAGGGCCUCGGCGCGUACAGCCCUGUCAGCAGGGAAGAAAAUGACGGUACCUGAAGAAGAAGCCACGGCUAACUACGUGCCAGCAGCCGCGGUAAGCCGGAGGGGGCAAGCGUUAUCCGGAUUUACUGGGUGUAAAGGGGGCGCAGACGGCGAGGCAAGCCAGGAGGGAAAGACCGGGGCCCAACCCCUGGACUGCUCUUCGAACUGAGUGGCUGGAGUGCAGUAGAGGCAGGCGGAAUUCGUGGUGUAGCGGUGAAAUGCUUAGAUAUCAGGAGGAACGCCGGUGGCGAAGGCGGCCUGCUGGACUGCAACUGACGUUGAGGCCCGAAAGUGUGGGGAGCAAACAGGAUUAGAUACCCUGGUAGUC
Molecule: ribosomal RNA, 440 nt
Filed under: uncultured bacterium
Lineage: Bacteria
Description: partial 16S ribosomal RNA
Rfam family: Bacterial small subunit ribosomal RNA
Source: RNAcentral